CCUACGGGCGGCAGCAGUGAGGAAUAUUGGUCAAUGGGCGGGAGCCUGAACCAGCCAAGCCGCGUGAGGGAAGAAGGUACAGCGUAUCGUAAACCUCUUUUGUCAGGGAACAAAGGCGGGGACUAGUCCCCGGAUGAGGGUACCUGAAGAAAAAGCAUCGGCUAACUCCGUGCCAGCAGCCGCGGUAAUACGGAGGAUGCGAGCGUUAUCCGGAUUUAUGGGGUUGAAAGGGUGCGCAGGCGGCCUGUUAAGUCAGCGGUAAAAGCCCGGGGCUCAACCCCGGCGAGCGGUUGAAACUGGCGGGCUGGAGUUGGAGAGAAGUACGCGGAAUGCGCGGUGUAGCGGUGAAAUGCUUAGAUAUCGCGCAGAACCCCGAUUGCGAAGGCAGCGUACCGGCUCCACACUGACGCUGAGGCACGAAAGCGUGGGUAUCGAACAGGAUUAGAUACCCUUGUAGUC
This 459-nucleotide ribosomal RNA is filed under the name uncultured bacterium. RNAcentral describes it as "partial 16S ribosomal RNA". It matches the Rfam family "Bacterial small subunit ribosomal RNA", at positions 338 to 795 of the family's 1533-position model. The record is from RNAcentral.